Molecule: unclassified non-coding RNA, 185 nt
Filed under: soil metagenome
Description: partial contains 5.8S ribosomal RNA, internal transcribed spacer 2, and large subunit ribosomal RNA
Source: RNAcentral
AACGGUCUAUACCUGCGGUACCUGCGGAGGGAUCAAUAUUGAAACUCGGCCCCUCGGGCCGUCUCUCACCCUGCACACUUGUGGAACGAAACAUGCUUGGGCGUCUAGGCGCCCAGUUUAUGCUACAGUCUGUCGAUUGAGUCUGAAUCGAACCAAAAGAUUAAAACUUUCAACAACGGAUCUCU